AACGAACGCUGGCGGCAUGCCUAACACAUGCAAGUCGAACGAGACCUUCGGGUCUAGUGGCGCACGGGUGCGUAACGCGUGGGAACCUUCCCUUAGGUUCGGAAUAACUCCCCGAAAGGGGUGCUAAUACCGGAUAAUGUCUUCGGACCAAGGAUUUAUCGCCUUUGGAUGGGCCCGCGUUGGAUUAGCUAGUUGGUAGGGUAAAAGCCUACCAAGGCGACGAUCCAUAGCUGGUCUGAGAGGAUGAUCAGCCACACUGGGACUGAGACACGGCCCAGACUCCUACGGGAGGCAGCAGUGGGGAAUAGAGGAAAGUGGGCGAAAGCCUGAACCAGCAAUGCCGCGUGAGUGAUGAAGGCCUUAGGGUUGUAAAGCUCUUUUAACCGGGAUGAUAAUGACAGUACCGGGAGAAUAAGCUCCGGCUAACUCCGUG
RNAcentral lists this ribosomal RNA (433 nucleotides) under uncultured bacterium. RNAcentral's name for it is "partial 16S ribosomal RNA". It matches the Rfam family "Bacterial small subunit ribosomal RNA", at positions 29 to 507 of the family's 1533-position model. The record is from RNAcentral.